CACGUAGGGCGCAAGCGUUGUCCGGAAUUAUUGGGCGUAAAGAGCUCGUAGGCGGUCUGUUGCGUCUGCUGUGAAAACCCGGGGCUUAACCCCUGGCUUGCAGUGGAUACGGACAGACUAGAGGUAGGUAGGGGAGAAUGGAAUUCCCGGUGUAGCGGUGAAAUGCGCAGAUAUCGGGAGGAACACCGGUGGCGAAGGCGGUUCUCUGGGCCUUACCUGACGCUGAGGAGCGAAAGCGUGGGUAGCGAACAGG
RNAcentral lists this ribosomal RNA (253 nucleotides) under uncultured bacterium. Its description in RNAcentral is "partial 16S ribosomal RNA". It matches the Rfam family "Bacterial small subunit ribosomal RNA", at positions 524 to 776 of the family's 1533-position model. The record is from RNAcentral.